UACGGAAGAUCCGAGCGUUAUCCGGAAUUACUGGGCGUAAAGAGUUGCGUAGGUGGCAGGUAAAGCGAGUAGUGAAAGAUCCCGGCUCAACCGGGGGCACAUUAUUCGAACUCACCAGCUAGAGCAUGAGAGAGGUAGAUGGAAUUUCUAGUGUAGGAGUGAAAUCCGUAGAUAUUAGAAGGAACACCGAUGGCGUAGGCAGUCUACUGGCUCAUUGCUGACACUAAGGCACGAAAGCGUGGGGAGCGAACGGG
This 254-nucleotide ribosomal RNA is filed under the name uncultured bacterium. Its description in RNAcentral is "partial 16S ribosomal RNA". It matches the Rfam family "Bacterial small subunit ribosomal RNA", at positions 524 to 776 of the family's 1533-position model. The record is from RNAcentral.